RNAcentral lists this ribosomal RNA (649 nucleotides) under uncultured bacterium. Its description in RNAcentral is "bacterial SSU rRNA". It matches the Rfam family "Bacterial small subunit ribosomal RNA", at positions 746 to 1395 of the family's 1533-position model. The record is from RNAcentral.
CUCAUGGACGAAAGCCAGGGGAGCGAAAGGGAUUAGAUACCCCUGUAGUCCUGGCCGUAAACGAUGAACACUAGGUGUCGGGAGAAUCGACCCCCUCGGUGUCGUAGCCAACGCGUUAAGUGUUCCGCCUGGGGAGUACGCACGCAAGUGUGAAACUCAAAGGAAUUGACGGGGGCCCGCACAAGCGGUGGAGUAUGUGGUUUAAUUCGAUGCAACGCGAAGAACCUUACCAGGGUUUGACAUCCUGCGAAUCUCUUGGAAGCAGGAGAGUGCCUUCGGGAACGCAGUGACAGGUGGUGCAUGGCUGUCGUCAGCUCGUGUCGUGAGAUGUUGGGUUAAGUCCCGCAACGAGCGCAACCCACGUCUUUAGUUGCCAGCAUUUAGUUGGGCACUCUAGAGAGACUGCCGGUGAUAAACCGGAGGAAGGUGUGGAUGACGUCAAGUCAUCAUGCCCCUUACAUCCUGGGCUACACACGUACUACAAUGCUACGGACAAAGGGCAGCAAGAUCGCGAGGACAAGCAAAUCCCAUAAACCGUGGCUCAGUUCAGAUCGUAGGCUGCAACUCGCCUACGUGAAGGCGGAAUCGCUAGUAAUCGCAGGUCAGCAUACUGCGGUGAAUACGUUCCCGGGCCUUGUACACUCCGCCC